CCUACGGGAGGCAGCAGUAGGGAAUAUUGCUCAAUGGGGGAAACCCUGAAGCAGCAACGCCGCGUGGAGGAUGAAGGUUUUCGGAUUGUAAACUCCUUUUGUUAGAGAAGAUAAUGACGGUACCUAACGAAUAAGCACCGGCUCACUCCGUGCCAGCAGCCGCGGUAAUACGGAGGGUGCAAGCGUUACUCGGACUCACUGGGCGUAAAGGGCGCGUAGGCGGGAUAGCAAGUCAGAUGUGAAAUCCUAUGGCUUAACCAUGGAACUGCAUUUGAAACUGUUUUUCUAGAGUAUGGGAGAGGUAGGUGGAAUGCUUGGUGUAGGGGUAAAAUCCGUAGAGAUCAAGAGGAAUACUGAUUGCGAAGGCGACCUGCUAGAACAUAACUGACGCUGAGGCGCGAAAGCGUGGGGAGCAAACAGGAUUAGAUACCCGAGUAGUC
Molecule: ribosomal RNA, 440 nt
Filed under: uncultured bacterium
Lineage: Bacteria
Description: partial 16S ribosomal RNA
Rfam family: Bacterial small subunit ribosomal RNA
Source: RNAcentral